Molecule: ribosomal RNA, 222 nt
Filed under: uncultured bacterium
Lineage: Bacteria
Description: partial 16S ribosomal RNA
Rfam family: Bacterial small subunit ribosomal RNA
Source: RNAcentral
GGUUUAAUUCGAAGCAAACGCGAAGAACCUUACCAGGUCUUGACAUCUUCUGACAAUUCCAGAGAUGGAACGUUCCCUUCGGGGACAGAAUGACAGGUGGUGCAGGUUGUCGUCAGCUCGUGUCGUGAGAUGUUGGGUUAAGUCCCGCAACGAGCGCAACCCUUAUUGUCAGUUGCCAUCAUUAAGUUGGGCACUCUGGCGAGACUGCGGUGACAAACCGGA